CCUGGCUCAGGAUGAACGCUGGCGGCGUGCUUAACACAUGCAAGUCGAACGAAGCUCUCGGAUGGAUCCCUUCGGGGUGAAGGAAGAGAUGACUGAGUGGCGGACGGGUGAGUAACGCGUGGGAAACCUGCCUCAUACAGGGGGAUAACAGUUGGAAACGACUGCUAAUACCGCAUAAGCGCACGGUAUCGCAUGGUACAGUGUGAAAAGCCUUAACGGUAUGAGAUGGUCCCGCGUCUGAUUAGCCAGUUGGCGGGGUAACGGCCCACCAAAGCGACGAUCAGUAGCCGACCUGAGAGGGUGACCGGCCACAUUGGGACUGAGACACGGCCCAAACUCCUACGGGAGGCAGCAGUGGGGAAUAUUGCACAAUGGGCGAAAGCCUGAUGCAGCGACGCCGCGUGAGUGACGAAGUAUUUCGGUAUGUAAAGCUCUAUCAGCAGGGAAGAAAAAUGACGGUACCUGACUAAGAAGCUCCGGCUAAAUACGUGCC
This 493-nucleotide ribosomal RNA is filed under the name uncultured organism. RNAcentral's name for it is "SSU rRNA". It matches the Rfam family "Bacterial small subunit ribosomal RNA", at positions 18 to 509 of the family's 1533-position model. The record is from RNAcentral.